GACGAACGCUGGCGGCGUGCCUAAUACAUGCAAGUCGAGCGCGGGAAGCGAGCUGAUCCCCUUCGGGGGUGACGCUCGUGGAACGAGCGGCGGACGGGUGAGUAACACGUGGGCAACCUGCCUGUAAGAUCGGAAUAACUCCGGGAAACCGGAGCUAAUGCCGGGUAACAUGUUCCUUCGCAUGAAGGAACAUUAAAAGAUGGCUUCUUGCUAUCACUUACAGAUGGGCCCGCGGCGCAUUAGCUAGUUGGUGAGGUAACGGCUCACCAAGGCAACGAUGCGUAGCCGACCUGAGAGGGUGAUCGGCCACACUGGGACUGAGACACGGCCCAGACUCCUACGGGAGGCAGCAGUAGGGAAUCUUCCGCAAUGGACGAAAGUCUGACGGAGCAACGCCGCGUGAACGAUGAAGGUCUUCGGAUCGUAAAGUUCUGUUGUUAGGGAAGAACAAGUACCGUGCGAAUAGAGCGGUACCUUGACGGUACCUAACGAGGAAGCCCCGGCUAACUACGUGCCAGCAGCCGCAGUAAAAC
Molecule: ribosomal RNA, 533 nt
Filed under: uncultured bacterium
Lineage: Bacteria
Description: bacterial SSU rRNA
Rfam family: Bacterial small subunit ribosomal RNA
Source: RNAcentral